Molecule: ribosomal RNA, 494 nt
Filed under: uncultured bacterium
Lineage: Bacteria
Description: bacterial SSU rRNA
Rfam family: Bacterial small subunit ribosomal RNA
Source: RNAcentral
AAAGGAAUAGACGGGGGCCCGCACAAGCAGCGGAGCAUGUUGUUUAAUUCGAUGCAACGCGAAGAACCUUACCAUGUCUUGACAUUGAGGUAAAGCGCUAGAAAUAGCGUCAGGAUUCGUCCGACCGAAAACAGGUGGUGCAUGGUUGUCGUCAGCUCGUGUCGUGAGAUGUUGGGUUAAGUCCCGCAACGAGCGCAACCCUUAUGAUCAGUUACUAACGGAUAAUGCCGAGGACUCUGAUAAGACUGCCGGGGAUAACUCGGAGGAAGGUGGGGACGACGUCAAAUCAUCAUGCCCCUUAUGACAUGGGCUACAAACGUGCUACAAUGGCAACUACAAAGAGAAGCGACCCUGUAAAGGCAAGCGGAUCUCAAAAAAGUUGUCCCAGUUCGGAUUGUGGGCUGCAACCCGCCCACAUGAAGUUGGAGUUGCUAGUAAUCGCGGAUCAGAAUGCCGCGGUGAAUACGUUCCCGGGCCUUGUACACACCGCCCGU